GGCCGUCUAGCUCAGUUGGUUAGAGCGUCGUGCUAAUAUGAGCCAAGCGAUGCAAAAUUCAUAUAACGCGAAGGUCUUGGGUUCGACCCCCACGAUGGCCA
Molecule: non-coding RNA, 101 nt
Organism: Roridomyces roridus
Lineage: Eukaryota; Fungi; Basidiomycota; Agaricomycetes; Agaricales; Mycenaceae
Source: the annotation of a GenBank genome assembly